AAGGGCACCACAAGAACGCGUGGAGCAUGUGGCUUAAUUUGACUCAACGCGGGAAAUCUUACCGUGUCCGGACACACUGAGGAUUGACAGAUAUACGUACCAUACGAUACUUGCAUUGUUGGUACUGAAAGAUGCUAGUUCUUUCAUGAUUAUGUGAUAGGUGGUGCAUGGCCGUUCUUAGUUCGUGGAGUGAUCUGUCUGCUUAAUUGCGUAUCAUUAAAGAGACCUAGUAUAUGUGUAAGAUAUCGUUACGGUUCGUGACCCCCUUCGGGCGUGUGUCGCACGUACGUAUCAUACGCACUGGUCUCCGAUAGCAACGAACGUGACCGUACUCUAUUGUUGCAGCGAAUGUAUGCAUCUUCGGGUGUAUCUACCGCUGCUUAGCAUAUUUCAUGCCUCGGGCGUGUGUAUGCAUUAAACUAUAGAGACCGCUGUCUUUUCUUUAAACCAGAGGAAGGAUACGGCAAUAACAGGUCUGUGAUGCCCUCAGAUGUUCCGGGCUGCACACGUGCUACAAUGAUCAUUGCACUGUGCAUCUAACCCAAUGUGCGUGGACGCCACGGUGUUUUGCGCUUCGGCGUAUAUUCAUCAGUUGGUCGACCACGCCCGAACCUACUUCGAAAAAAAAANUUUUAAGUGGGUAAUCCAUUAAGAAGUAAUGACUCGCAUAGACCAUGGUACAAUUUAUAUGCACGCGCAUGUUCUACCCGGCCGUCCUUUGUGUCGGUGCAGUGCGUAGCUUGUUGUUUCGUACGUACCCUUCCGUAUUAAUUAAUACGUGGGGAUAGAUCAUUGUUUAAUUGUUGGUCUCGGUCUUAACUAGGAAUGCCUUGCACGGGUCUCUGGUUCAACAUACCACCCGGAAUACCUCCCUGCCCUUUGUACACACCGCCCGUCGCUGAUACUAUGAAUCUAUAGUACUGCCAAAAUUUUUGCACUUCNNUGCGCGCUUAGUGGAAAUAUAUAUGAAUAGUGUNNNNNNNNNNAGGAGAAGUCGAACAAGGCAAAGGGCGAAUUCGUUUAA
RNAcentral lists this ribosomal RNA (1024 nucleotides) under Ammonia sp. 642. RNAcentral describes it as "bacterial SSU rRNA". It matches the Rfam family "Eukaryotic small subunit ribosomal RNA", at positions 1160 to 1831 of the family's 1831-position model. Lineage: Eukaryota; Foraminifera; Rotaliida; Rotaliidae. The record is from RNAcentral.